Non-coding RNA from Onthophagus taurus, 1344 nucleotides. NCBI's taxonomy places the organism in Eukaryota, Metazoa, Arthropoda, Insecta, Coleoptera, Scarabaeidae. The record is from RefSeq and is a predicted model, not a curated record.
AGUUCAGUUUACUGAUAAAGUCAUUUAUUUUAAGUUAUCUAUUAAAUUAAAAUGGGUAAAUAUCCAAAAAGUGAUGGUGAUGGUUUUUGCAAAGCUUAUGUCAAUGAUUAUGAUUCUUUUUCGUUUUCAAAGAUGAAUCAGAUGGAAGCUGGAUGCUGCUUUGGAUAAAAAUGUAUCACAAUGGUAGAAUAUGGAUUAAAAUUUUGAAUAAAAAGUCAAGAUAAAAUGGUGACCAAGGACAUUAAAAAAAUCCCUGGGUAAAAACUACAUUUACCAUUUUUUUUUAAGUUUAAAAACACAAAAAGGUUAGGUGGGUUAUUUGUUUUAAUUAUACAUUUUGCUUAGAAAUAUUAGAUAUCUUCUUCUUCUUCUCCUGAUCCUUAUGCCUGAUGGAGUCGGAUAAACCUUUUUAAUGUUCCUCCAUCGCCUCUUCCACUCCCUCUGGCUCCUCUCUUUUUCCCAACUUCUGCUAUUCUUUCCUCCCAUUUCUUCCUAGGUCAUAUCCUUAUUCUUUGUUUCAAAUACCUUUUUUAUUGUUGUGUUAUGUUCCAUUCUAAUUAUGUGGGCCUACCAGUUCAGUUCCCUUCUUUCUAUUUUACUACUUAUCUCCUCUUGUUCUAUUCCCAGUCUUAUUUACUCAUUUCUUAUUUAAAAAAAAUUUGUAGAAAUUUCAUUUCCAUUGCUGUGAUGUUUCCUUCUUGUUUAUCUUGGAGUGUCCAUUAUUCAGUAGCAUAUGUUAAUAUUGGAACUGCCACCGCGUUGUACACUUUCAAUUUUAUCUUUUUAUCUAUCUCCUUCUUCCCAAAAAUUGUUUUGUAUUUGUAGUUUUGUGUCCGUAGAACGUGGUUAGCAAAAACAGGGAAUUGUUCUUUUGAGUAUUUUAUUAUUAUCUACUUAACUUUAACACAGUCUUACAUUCACUUAUUCUACUUUUUUAUUUAUUUUUGUACUACUCUUUUUACCGACUUAAAAACUACUUCUUUCUUACUCUAAUUUACCAUUGAUACCAUAGAUGGCGGCACUUAUACAUAAACUUCAACAGUAUUAGAUAUACACUUGGAAAAUUAUUCGUUAUUUCUUUUUCCGCAAUAAUUUCUCAAAAUUAGUUAACAUGUUGACUGCCCAACACGAGAUAACACGUAUUAGCGCUCUUCCUCAGGACGCCCAAUACAAGUUAUCUCGUAUUGCGCUUUUUUGACUUGCCAUGUUCGCGCCACUAUCAGUGAGUUCCUUGUUUAUAAGUGUAAAUAUGAAUGGAUGGUCUCCUGGAAGAAAAUAAACAAUCAAGUUUGGCUUGUAUUGUAUCUUGGAGAGUUGUUAAUAAAUGACACUAAUAGUCGUUAA